UUUACUGAAAACAAUAACAUAUAACACACAUGGUUUAUAUACCUUUACUGUAAGGGCCCUGUGCAUCAAUACGUUUUACCUGCGUUUUUAUACCUGUUGCAUCAUCUGUAAGCACCGUGUGCAAAAAAUUAGGGUCGUGUGCAAAAAUAUGUUGGACUUACCUUUUGAUCUUACUGUGUACGUCUUUGUACACUAUCUAGUCAGCGAACUUACCUAUGCAUUAUGACGUCAUCCACUUGUAAAAUUAAAGUUUCAUUUUCACUUUUGUUUCUAAGAAGUGAACUUAGAUUUUCAGAAAAUGUAGGACUAUCUUUCGUUUUUCCUCUCUUUUACUAUGAUGAUUUUCCUGCUGUGAAGCUUUUCUUGUAUAAAGCUCAAUUUCUCUCUGACCACGGAAGUAAACAUCCUGAUGCAUUCUUGUCAUGUGAAUGUUGAGAGCGUGUUCAUUUUUGAAAUCUCCUUUCUGACAGACCUAUUCCACAGGAUCAGCUGAGAUGUUAUUUCACUGGAUUAUUUAAUGGAUAGGCUUAUUGGGCAUAUAUUUGGAUAUCUCUGUCAUCAACAUGGAAGAUAAGUUUUGUUCCUAACCAUCUAUAAUCAAUUCUCUAUGAAGUUCAGACUGUCUGCCCUUCCUUUGGAAAUACACAGUUAGUCAACCAACAUAGAAACACACAAACUUGAAGGGAAAGAAUACUAUAAUGUGGCUCAUUAGGAUGACCAGAAAAGAAAUCUUAAUGACCCUCUUGACUAUGUAUAAAGACUGUAACCAUAUAACUGAUGUAAGAUGAUCUGAUUGUGUGCAAAUAAAAUUUCCUAGUGUUUCUUCUACCCAAGAUCUUCUUAUGACUGCAUGGGACUGCUGUAAACCUUCUGUUUAUAAAAAUAAUACCUUAGAGCAUGACACUUUAUUCAUAAGAGGUACUUUCAAUAUCAUUUCUAUGAGUUUGUGUUCUUUCUUUUUAAUAAUGUAGUGUUAUAUCUCCUUUAACCUCAUUAAUAUGUAUGCUUCCAAAAUCUUAGAUCUGUCUGUAUAGUUUCUUCAGUUCUUUGAACACAAAUACCCUGAUUCAAUCUUUUGAGGUAAACAUCAUAGAGACAUCAUAGAUGAUUAUCAGAGUGUAUAUAUCACAAUCUUGACCAUAAGGUCAAUUUAAAUGGUCAAAGGCACAACAAAUGAAAGUGAAAACUUUUCUUUUUUUUAAUCAGAAUACAUAAUUUUGUAAUAAACAAACACUGGAAAGUUACUCUCAUAAUGAGCCUUAAUGUCUUCCAAGAGUUCAGUUUGGACUUCCUCCAUUAAUCCUUGUAUCUUGUAAUCCUUGUAUCUCCAAUGGUUUUGUGGGCUAAAAAUCAUGUGUCUUUAACAAUCUUUUUUUUUCUGACAACUGUUUUCUCUUAUCAUCUAUAAACUUGACUUCUUCUCUAG
Saccostrea cuccullata (small rock oyster) is the source of this 1426-nucleotide long non-coding RNA. RefSeq lists it as uncharacterized. The transcript has 4 exons. The record is from RefSeq and is a predicted model, not a curated record. NCBI's taxonomy places the organism in Eukaryota, Metazoa, Mollusca, Bivalvia, Ostreida, Ostreidae.